CGCACCUUGCGCUCCCUGGUAUUCCGGGGAGCAUGCCUGUUUGAGUGUCGUGAAGUUAAUCAUGGUCAUGGUCUUUAAUUAAUCAUGGCUUGGAUUUGGAGGUAUUGUUGGCCUUUUUAGUCAACUCCUCUUAAAUACAUUAGCUCGGUGUUAAUACUUGGAGCAGUUCACAGUGUGAUAAUUAUCUACACUUCAACUAAUCCAAGUUAACUGGCUUCUAGUGAUCACUUUGUGUAUUUGACCUCAAAUCAGGUAGGACUACCCGCUGAACUUAA
Molecule: unclassified non-coding RNA, 275 nt
Filed under: Resinicium confertum
Lineage: Eukaryota; Fungi; Basidiomycota; Agaricomycetes; Hymenochaetales
Description: partial contains 5.8S ribosomal RNA, internal transcribed spacer 2, and large subunit ribosomal RNA
Source: RNAcentral